UGCCAGCCUCCGCCGUACUACUGAUUGUGCAAUCAUUAAUCGGAUUUACUGGGCGUAAAGGGUGCGUAGGCGGACAGGCAAGUCAGGUGUGAAAUUCCGGUACUCAAUAUCGGAGCUGCACUUGAAACUACCUGUCUAGAGGAUAGGCGGAGAGAACGGAAUUCCGUAUGCAGCGGUGGAAUGCGUAGAUAUACGGAAGAACACCUGUGGCGAAAGCGGUUCUCUAGCUUAUUUCUGACGCUGAGGCACGAGAGCGUGGGGAGCGAACAGGAUUAGAUA
This 279-nucleotide ribosomal RNA is filed under the name uncultured bacterium. RNAcentral describes it as "partial 16S ribosomal RNA". It matches the Rfam family "Bacterial small subunit ribosomal RNA", at positions 506 to 784 of the family's 1533-position model. The record is from RNAcentral.